Molecule: transfer-messenger RNA, 359 nt
Filed under: bacterium (Candidatus Gribaldobacteria) CG_4_10_14_0_2_um_filter_33_15
Lineage: Bacteria; Candidatus Gribaldobacteria
Rfam family: transfer-messenger RNA
About the family: Bacterial tmRNA, also known as 10Sa RNA or SsrA, is named for its dual tRNA and mRNA-like properties. Its role is to liberate the mRNA from a stalled ribosome.
Source: RNAcentral
GGGGGUGAAAAGAAUUGACAGAAUUUCAACCAAAAUAGGCAAGCCGAGUUUGCUACUAACUCGUAAAAAGUAGUAAAUAAAUAAGUGCUAACUUAUUUGCAAGUCCAAAACUUGCUCCAGUUUACGCAUAAAAAAACGUAAACCAUCCGCUCAUCGACUCUCGAUAGGUGAAAACGGGUGCCAUAAAUCGAGAUAGACAAUUAUUUCUGCUUCAAGUAAUUGUUGAAAAUUAGAAGCUAAGAAUAUUAAAAUUUUGUCUAUUUUCAUAUUUAAUAUUCUAAAAAUAAAUAGACUAAACUUGUAGAACUAUUUUAGAAGAAAUUUCUGGACGAGGGUUCAAUUCCCCUCCAACUCCACCA